This 454-nucleotide long non-coding RNA is filed under the name Fukomys damarensis (Damara mole-rat). Its description in RNAcentral is "lncRNA (ENSFDAG00000026118.1)". Lineage: Eukaryota; Metazoa; Chordata; Mammalia; Rodentia; Bathyergidae. The record is from RNAcentral.
CUUUCCCGGGCCACGCUCGUUACAGAGCACAGGUACUGGCUAAAUGUGUCUGAUCAUUCAUCAUGAUUUCGCCCUCCACUUUGUCACAGCGUGGGGAUUUAAGGAAGAUAGAUGGUACAAGAUGUUGUCUCCUCCGCAGACGCUUUCUGCUCUGUCUAGGCUGCUCUGGAUAGCAACUGCUCCUUGGAGACGUAAGGAAACUCUCGAGGACCAGAUCAAAGGGAGCCUAGGAGAGAUGCCUGAGGUGGCACCAAGUCACUCGCCAUACGUGGGGGGCCACCUUGAAAGUCCUCUACCCCAGUCAACGCCAUGUGAAGGCGCAGGGAGCCGAUCCCGCCAAAUCCUGGAGCGCAGUAAAUCAUUCCUGCUUCCUAAGGAACCACGCACUGGGGCUGCUUCUCACACAGCAGAAGGUAACCAAAACACCCUCCACCCAUUUGUCCUCAUUUGUGUG